RNAcentral lists this ribosomal RNA (769 nucleotides) under Stiphidion facetum. RNAcentral describes it as "SSU rRNA". It matches the Rfam family "Eukaryotic small subunit ribosomal RNA", at positions 986 to 1773 of the family's 1831-position model. The record is from RNAcentral. Lineage: Eukaryota; Metazoa; Arthropoda; Arachnida; Araneae; Stiphidiidae.
AAAGUUAGAGGUUCGAAGGCGAUCAGAUACCGCCCUAGUUCUAACCAUAAACGAUGCCAGCCAGCGAUCCGGCUGUGUUCCUCAAAUGACACGCCGGGCAGCUUCCGGGAAACCAAAGCUUUUGGGUUCCGGGGGAAGUAUGGUUGCAAAGCUGAAACUUAAAGGAAUUGACGGAAGGGCACCACCAGGAAUGGAGCCUGCGGCUUAAUUUGACUCAACGCGCGUAAGCUCACCGGGCCAGGACACAGGAAGGAUUGACAGAUUAAGAGCUCUUUCUUGAUUCUGUGGGUGGUGGUGCAUGGCCGUUCUUAGUUGGUGGAGUGAUUUGUCUGGUUAAUUCCGAUAACGAGCGAGACUCUAGCCUGCUAAAUAGACGUUCCGAUCCUCUGCGUCGGACGUUCUUCUUAGAGGGACAAGCGGCGUCUAGCCGCACGAGACAGAGCAAUAACAGGUCUGUGAUGCCCUUAGAUGUCCUGGGCCGCACGCGCGCUACAUUGAAGGAACCAGCGUGUGCUUUCCCUGUCCGACAGGACUGGGUAACCCGUUGAACCUCCUUCGUGCUGGGGAUAGGGGCCUGUAAUUGUUCCCCUUGAACGAGGAAUUCCCAGUAAGCACGAGUCAUCAUCUCGUGUUGAUUAAGUCCCUGCCCUUUGUACACACCGCCCGUCGCUACUACCGAUUGAAUGAUUUAGUGAGGUCUUCGGACUGGCGCUCGGAGCGGCCCCCGGGUCGCGCCGGCGUGCCGGAAAGAUGACCAAACUUGAUCAUU